RNAcentral lists this ribosomal RNA (305 nucleotides) under uncultured bacterium. Its description in RNAcentral is "bacterial SSU rRNA". It matches the Rfam family "Bacterial small subunit ribosomal RNA", at positions 337 to 635 of the family's 1533-position model. The record is from RNAcentral.
ACCUACGGGAGGCAGCAGUAGGGAAUUUUCGUCAAUGGGCGCAAGCCUGAACGAGCAAUACCGCGUGAACGAGGAAGGUCUUCGGAUCGUAAAGUUCUGUUGAAGGGGAAAAAGAGCGGAGAGAGGAAAUGCUUUCUGAUUGAUAUUACCCUUCGAGGAAGUCACGGCUAACUACGUGCCAGCAGCCGCGGUAAUACAUAGGUGGCGAGCGUUAUCCGGAAUGAUUGGGCGUAAAGGGUGCGUAGGCGGCCUGCUAAGUCUGGAGUGAAAGGUACCGGCUCAACCGGUACAGGCUCUGGAAACUG